AACUUCUUCUGUCUUGGUAAUCGUGAGUUGACAGACACACAUGACACUUCAGGCAUCUCAAGUGCCACUGCCGCAAACACUCCUCAGGCAAACAGUCAGAACAGCCGGCGGUUCAUGAUUUAUGUUCAUUCAAAAGGGAUGAUAGUGGAUGAUGAAUAUGUAAUAUUGGGAUCUGCAAACAUAAACAGCGUUCAAUGGAGGGCACAAGAGACACUGAAAUUGCAAUGGGGGCAUAUCAGCCUCGUCAUACCUGGGCAAGAAAACAAUCUAAUCCACAUGGACAGAUAUAUGGAUA
This 295-nucleotide unclassified non-coding RNA is filed under the name Hevea brasiliensis (rubber tree). Lineage: Eukaryota; Viridiplantae; Streptophyta; Magnoliopsida; Malpighiales; Euphorbiaceae. The record is from RNAcentral.